GCCAGUGUAGCUCAGCCGGUAGAGCAACUGAUUCGUAAUCAGUAGGUCGGGGGUUCAACUCCCCCUGCUGGCU
RNAcentral lists this transfer RNA (73 nucleotides) under Candidatus Aminicenantota bacterium. Its description in RNAcentral is "Candidatus Aminicenantes bacterium tRNA-Thr". It matches the Rfam family "tRNA". Rfam says of the family: Transfer RNA (tRNA) molecules are approximately 80 nucleotides in length. RNAcentral also lists the same sequence under 2 other names. Lineage: Bacteria; Candidatus Aminicenantota. The record is from RNAcentral.